UAGCAAUGUUACCUUGGAAACAAGAAACUAUGUUAAUUAAGAAGGAUAUCACUUGUCCAGGUGUUUCUUGUAAACAACAUAUUCUUGGAUCCUGGUUUCUAAGGCAGUCUGUUAUCCUCUUCCAUUCAUUUUAUGGGUUGUCUGAGAGAACACUGUUUCCUUGUGCAGUCACCUACUGAAAACUGGAUUUAUCGCUGGCUGCAGGCAUGAUAGACCCCUAUCAGUUUUAACAUGAAAAUGUAUCUUUUGGAACUCCUUUCAAAGCAAAAAGAAGGAAGAAGAAGAAGAAGAAGAAGAAGAAGAAGAAGAAGAAGAAGAAGAAGAAAGAAAAAGAAAAGCAAAAAAAAGAGAAAGGUAUUGGGUUACUUCAUUAUUGAGCCUUGUUUGACAAAAUCAGAAUCAUUUAGCUUAAUUACACACUUUAUGCAUCAGAAUUUAGUGUAAAUGAUCUUUGGUUUGUUCCAUGAUAUUAUGGUUUCCCUUGGUUGAGAAUAUUUAAACUUUCAUAGUAAUCACAUAGGAGAAAUUCCAAAAAUAUUUUGAGCAAUGAAGAACAUGUUUUUGGAUAAGCAUAUAGUUUCCCAAUGCCAGUAUUCUGAUCGUACUGAUACUGUUCUUUUGUAUGUAUAAGUUCUGACAUGUCUGUUUAAAAUAAAAUCAUUUUUAUUUAUAGUCCAGCCUGGGAAAUUGGGCAAAGGUUUAGUGCUGUACCCACUCACCUGAUAUUAUGCUUAAAGCUGGAAUCAUUGGAACUAGAGGCAUUGCAGUGACUUGGAGCUUCAGACAAUAGACUGAAUAACAAAAAGACAAUAGUCUUGGAUACCAUUACAGAAACAAAGUUCACAACAUUUUGUUUUUUAGUUUUACUCAAUCCCUUGACACCUGGAGAUGUCAUUACUGAGUUCAUUAGAGCUCAUCACUAUACAUUAUAGAGGGCUGGAUAUACAGUCAGGAAGACCUGAGUUUGAAUCCUACUUCUCAUACUUAUUAGCUGCAUUCCUGGGCAACUCACUUAACUUGUUCUAUGCCUGAGUUUAUCUAACUAUAAAAUGAGGGAGUUGGACUCUAUUCUCUUAGGUCCCAUAUAGCUUUAAAUAUAUGGUCCUAGGAUAUGAAAGGUAGAGGUCCCGACCUGGUAACUAUGGCUAGAAAAUUUGCACCACCUGUUUUCCUAAUCCCAGUGAUUUAGAAUUGAUUUAUCCUAAGGCAAAAUUCUCCUUCUUUUGUUAUCAUACUAUCAGAAUCAGAGUCCCCAUUCCCCAUCCCAAUUACUUCCUUCUCUGUCUUUAUUUUCCAUUGCGAUCUCUGGAACUCCUAAUCAAUAUUUAAUAAAUAUCCUUUUGUUCUUCA
Molecule: non-coding RNA, 1350 nt
Organism: Phascolarctos cinereus (koala)
Lineage: Eukaryota; Metazoa; Chordata; Mammalia; Diprotodontia; Phascolarctidae
Source: RefSeq, a predicted model, not a curated record